This 253-nucleotide ribosomal RNA is filed under the name uncultured bacterium. Its description in RNAcentral is "partial 16S ribosomal RNA". It matches the Rfam family "Bacterial small subunit ribosomal RNA", at positions 524 to 776 of the family's 1533-position model. The record is from RNAcentral.
UACGAAGGGGGCUAGCGUUGUUCGGAAUUACUGGGCGUAAAGGGCGCGUAGGCGGUUUGUUAAGUCAGGCGUGAAAGCCCUGGGCUCAACCUGGGAUGUGCGUUUGAUACUGGCAAGCUUGAGUGCAGGAGAGGAUGGUGGAAUUCCCAGUGUAGAGGUGAAAUUCGUAGAUAUUGGGAAGAACACCGGUGGCGAAGGCGGCCAUCUGGACUGCAACUGACGCUGAGGCGCGAAAGCGUGGGGAGCAAACAGG